Molecule: RNA transcript, 2846 nt
Organism: Musa acuminata AAA Group (dessert banana)
Lineage: Eukaryota; Viridiplantae; Streptophyta; Magnoliopsida; Zingiberales; Musaceae
Gene name: glucan endo-1,3-beta-glucosidase 1-like
Exons: 4
Source: RefSeq, a predicted model, not a curated record
UAAGAAAAAAACAUAGCUUCGACAUGUAAAAAAAAGAACAAUUCGACACCAACUCCUACCAACAAGAACAACCAACUUCUUCCAAGAAAAAUAAUGCAGCCAACAUGUCUUCCGAACACCAACAAUUCCAAGCCCAAUCCAACCUCCAAACUCAAGAAAAAUCCCAUGGGAGCAAAUCCCUUCACUUUCCUCGCUCUCCUCCACCUCCUACUCUUCCAUUCUGUCAUUGCUGUCAUACCAGCGGCGGCGGCGGCGGCGAAUAUUGGAACGGCGGAGCCGUUCAUCGGCGUUAACAUCGGCACCGACCUGACGGACCUGCUCCCGCCGGCGGACCUCGCGACCUUCCUCAAGGCGCAGCAGAUCAAGCACGUCCGCCUCUACGACGCCGACCCGGGCAUCCUCUCCGCCCUCGCUGGCGCUGGCGUCUCCGUGGCCGUCGGCGUGCCCAACAACCAGCUCCUCGCCCUGGGCUCGUCCCCGGCCACCGCCGACGCCUGGGUCGCCCGCCACGUCCUCCCCUUCCACCCGGCCACCCCCAUCUCGGCGGUGGCCGUGGGCGACGAGGUCCCUGCGGCGCUGCCGUCCGCCCUCCCGCUCCUCCUCCCGGCCCUCCGCUCGCUCUCCGCCGCCCUCGCUGCCGCCAACCUCUCCUCCAUCCCUGUCUCCACCCCGCUGCCCUUCUCAGUCGUCCUCGACCCGUUUCCACCCUCGCAGGCUUACUUCAACCAGACCCUGGCCAACUCCUUCUUCCUCCCCCUCCUCCGGUUCCUCGCCGACACGGCCUCUCCUCUCAUGCUCAACCUCUACCCUUACUACGCCUUCGUGCAGAGCCGCGGCGCCGUGCCCCUGGACAACGCCCUGUUCAAGCCGCUUUCCCCGUCCCUCGAGGAGAUCGAUCCCAACACGCUCCUCCACUACACCAACGUGCUCGACGCCAUGGUCGACGCUGCGUACGUCUCCAUGCGCAACCUCAACUUCACCGGCGUACCCGUGCUCAUCACCGAGACCGGGUGGCCCCAUAACGGCUCCCGCCGCGACGAGCCCUACGCCACCGCCAAUUACGCCAGCACCUACACCUCCAACUUCAUCCGCCACAUGCUCGACCGCCGCGGCACGCCGCUGCGCCCGGAGGCCACCCCCAGCGUCUACAUCUACGAGCUGUUCGACGAGGACCUGCGCCCGGGACCGUUGUCGGAGGCCCACUGGGGACUCUUCUACGGGAACGGGACGCCGGCGUACCUGCUCAACGUGGCCGGGGCGGGGGGAUUCCUGGCCAACGACACCACGAACCGGACGUACUGCGUGGCGGCGGAGGAAGCGGACCGACGGUCGCUGCAGGCGGCGCUGGACUGGGCAUGCGGACCGGGUCGGGCCAACUGCUCGGAGAUACAGCCCGGGGAGAGCUGCUACCAGCCAAACGACGUGAGGAGCCACGCCUCGUACGCCUUCGACAGCUAUUACCAGAUGCAGGGCAAGGCCGCCGGUUCCUGCUUCUUCCAGGGCGUCGCCAUGAUCACCACCACCGACCCAAGUGAGCCAGUCAAUUAGCUCCUCUUUGUCAUUUUCCUUCCCGAAACCUUCAUCAUUACAGUCUUUCUAUGCUUUUUACCUUACCAGUAGCUUGUGAUUAGCAUGAACCAAUUAGCAUUAAUGCCGUAUCCAAGUACAGCAGUCAAAAGUUCAGCGGGGUGCCGAAGGGAGAAUGAGGCGAGCAUGAGAGAGAGUGGGCGGGUCAUGGGACAGUGAAGUCAGAGCAGAGUAGUCUGCUGUAAAUUUUGUCUGUUACCCCUUGCAUCGGAAGGCAAAUCCGAAGAAGGAAUCAUUUAGACUGCAGAAUGAAGGAAGCUGCUCAGAUCGGACUAGUUCUGAAGGCAUCGCAAACUUUCCAGUGUCACCAUUCCAUUAUUCUAGACAUGGUUUAGUAUGGUUCACGUGAAUCCUAGUGGCUUCUCGUCCAUAGACUUCUUCUUCGUGGAAUUGACUUCAUAUUAGAUUACACUGCUGCCGGUGAAGGUAGCGCGUCAGAAGAGUUCGCUUGCAGAGGCAUCUUCCACCUGACUCGGUGUGGUCCACGAUCGAUCCUUCAACAGCCUAAAUUAGAUUUCAGGAGAGACAAUUGCUUCUCGGUAAGGGGUUGUCCUGGUCCUACCAUUGCUUAAUAUAUUGAUUGCAACCUACCUGGAGAAGUUUCUUCUGGAAGCUCUGUUCCUAUGACUCGGUCCGAGAGUCCCACCCAGGUGGUGUUGCCGUGCCACUGCACAGCGGCACCAUUGAUGCAUUUUUAUGGUUAAGCGGCGAAACACGGAAGCGAGCACCGAAUGAUUUGGUGCCGCAGAAGCUCAUCAUUUAGCAACGCGUUUCCUCGUAACAGGAUGUUACUGUUUCACCGUAUAUAGGAGGAGGCGAUGGUUGAGAAGACUCAUCAUCAUGUAUGUCUGGAGGAGAGGAGAGGAGAUAGAGGCAGCGAUGUUGUGACCUUUUUACUAUCAUUUGCAAACAACGAUCUAAUCCCCAUCCCUUGUCACAGUUGUGAGGUGAAGAACCAUCGUAUUUGACCAUAUGAUAUAUCGAACAAACUAUUCUGAGAUAGAAUCCAUCUUUUUUGCCUUUUUUUUUUUUUCUUUCUGAUUUAGGGUUCUGAUGAGAUCUUUUUCUCCGAUAACUGAGACAUGCGGGCGAUACCGCUCCGUGGUAGUCCUAUGCAUCUCGUGUUACCGGAUGUCUCGAAUGGCCAUGGGAAAUGCAUCUUUCCUGGAAGCAAACAGAGGAGUGCCACAGGAGCAGGAACGAACAAGGCCGAAUCCAGUAAGGCUGUGGUGGUGUCCCCGACAUCGAGACUAGGAAAA